This 125-nucleotide small RNA is filed under the name Marmota monax (woodchuck). The record is from RNAcentral. Lineage: Eukaryota; Metazoa; Chordata; Mammalia; Rodentia; Sciuridae.
GUUGGGUGCAGUGGCGCACGCCUGUAAUCCCAGUGGCUUGGGAGGCUGAGGCAGGAGGAUCGUGAGUUCAAAGCCAGCCUCAGCAAAAGCAAGGCACUAAGCAAUUCAGUGAGACCCUGUCUCUA